Long non-coding RNA from Cercocebus atys (sooty mangabey), 1957 nucleotides. RefSeq lists it as uncharacterized. The record is from RefSeq and is a predicted model, not a curated record. NCBI's taxonomy places the organism in Eukaryota, Metazoa, Chordata, Mammalia, Primates, Cercopithecidae. The transcript has 2 exons.
CCUAGCAGGGGGACACCGUGGGCCAGCGCGCGUCAGGGUUAGUUUUACCCUGGGGCACUGCAGGCUCGCAGGACUGACUAGCCCUUACUUGGUAUUUUGCAUUAGUCAGGCAUUAUUGGGAACAAUAUUUGAGUUUUUCUUGCUUGAAUGCCUGCUACUGUGUCGUCUCGGGGCCGUCUUGUUUUCACAGUCUCAAAGGGUUGGCUUCUGCACUCCCAGCCGCUAAGGAGCAAGUGUAGCAGCAUGAAUGACCCUAUAUUUACACCUGCUAAGCACCUGACAGCCAACUGACCUUUAUGUUUAGCUGUGUCUGAUUUUCUUUCCUGUUACCAUCAAGAGCAUGUCUGUGGCAUUACACAUCAACACAGGGAUUAUGAAAACAAUCAGGUACAGAACUAUAUUCCAUAAGUAGAUUUGCAAAAUAAAGUAUUUUAUUCCCUUCUCAUUAUAAUGGUAGAGACAGAAAAUUUCAUUUAAGCAUCAUAAACUUUAUACUACACACUUAAGUGUGCCAGAAAAGCAAGCAAAACAAAGAAUAUUAGGACUAGGAAUAACUUCAGAGGGCAAUUGGUGUCCAGUCCCUGCUUUUCAGAUGAAAAUGUAAGGUCUCAGGUCAGCAGAAUUGCUUAAUAAUACAAGUUAGGCAAUAUAGUAUUUUACUCAUAGUUAGCAUAUACAGUAUUUCUCAUUAUAACUGAUGUAAUAGAAAAAAAUCUUUUGGCUUUCUUGCAAUUAAAAAGUUACAGGUGAGGUUGCAGUAAGCCUAGAUAGCACCACUGCAUUCCAGCCUGGGUAACAAAGCAAGACCCUGUCUCCAAAACAAAACAAAAGUCACAGGUAUUGCAUAUUUAUUGAUCACAUUGCUCACUGACCUACUCCAUUUUGGAAAAAAAGAGAACACAGGAUUUUUUUUUUCUUGUGAUGGGAAAUUUUGAUUCAAAAAAGACCAAUUCCUAAUCACGUUGUUUCUAGUCUUCCUUUAAAAGUUACUUCUUCAAAAUCCCAAGAAAUAAAAGAGAUUUGCUAAAGAUCCAACUAAGCAAAAGUCCUGUCAAGUAUAUUUACAUAUAUUCACCACCUACUUGCCCUUCUUUCUUGGUGACCUAGCUGUAUGUCCUUUGCCCAUUUUUGUGGGGUGGAGAGAAGUUUGGUCUUUGAAUUUUUAAGUACUCUCUAAACAAUAAAGCAAUUAGCCUUUGUGAUGUAAGUUGCAUUUUUUUUUCUUGCCCUUUAUCAGUUGAUUUUUCUUAAGCUGUUUUUUUCCCCUCUCUUCCAUGAUUUUAAAUUGAAAUUCAGGUUCAUGUCUCUCUCACUCCUUAUAUUGCUAUCAAGUAAAGGUGGCAGAAUUCACCUUUAAAGCAACUGUUAAACAGAAUUACACAGAAAUGAGCAGUAGUCAUAGAUAAAGCUAUUCUUAAAUAUCCAGAAAUAUUCUGAUGUUAGCAUAGCCCAUAAUAACAUAGCCCAUAUGUUAGCAUAGCCCAUAAUAACAUAACACAUUUUUAUUCUCUAAAGAUGUGGACAGGUUGAAGAGCACAAGCUCAUUUAUUUUAAAAAUAUCAGAACACAUUAUUUUGAUAUAUUUUUAAAAAUUUAUGUUUUAAAAAGUUAAUUUAGUAUAUUCUGAAUCCAUACAAAACUAAGCUAGUUACUUUUAUAAUAACAAUUAUUCUUUCAUUUCAAUUUUUAUCAUGUUUUUUAUAAAGAACAUAGCAAAAAGUGCUUUUGAAAUAAAGCUUAGAAAAUAUCCAAAGCUUAUUUUCCAAAUAUUUCUCUUGAGUAGUCUUAACCACCCUUCUCAUAAUCAUUUCAUGCCUCUCUAGUAAAUUAAUUUUUCUCCCUAGAGAAAGUAAAAACUGAUAUAGCAUAUAUUUCACUCCAAACUGUUUAAAAGACUAGGGUUCUGCUCUAUAAAAUAAAAGGAAACUAAGGGGAGAAAAGUACAUGUGUAAAAAAA